UGGUGCCAGCAGCCGCGGUAAUUCCAGCUCCAAUAGCGUAUAUUAAAGUUGUUGCAGUUAAAAAGCUCGUAGUUGAAUUUCGGGGUUAGUAAGUUGGUCAUGCCUCCGGUAUGCACUGGCUUUACUGAUUCCUCCUUCUUGAUGAACUGUAAUGUCAUUAAUUUGGUGUUGCAGGGAAUCAGGACUGUUACUUUGAAAAAAUUAGAGUGUUUAAAGCAGGCAUACGCUUGAAUACAUUAGCAUGGAAUAAUGAAAUAGGACGUUUGAUCCUAUUUUGUUGGUUUCUAGGAUUGACGUAAUGAUUAAUAGGGAUAGUUGGGGGCAUUAGUAUUCAAUUGUCAGAGGUGAAAUUCUUGGAUUUAUUGAAGACUAACUACUGCGAAAGCAUUUGCCAAGGAUGUUUUCAUUAAUCAAGAACGAAAGUUAGGGGAUCGGAGACGAUCAGAUACCGUCGUAGUCUUAACCAUAAACUAUGCCGACUAGGGA
RNAcentral lists this ribosomal RNA (486 nucleotides) under uncultured Glomeromycotina. RNAcentral describes it as "SSU rRNA". It matches the Rfam family "Eukaryotic small subunit ribosomal RNA", at positions 562 to 1052 of the family's 1831-position model. The record is from RNAcentral. Lineage: Eukaryota; Fungi; Glomeromycota.